RNAcentral lists this ribosomal RNA (588 nucleotides) under Triticum aestivum (bread wheat). Its description in RNAcentral is "partial small subunit ribosomal RNA". Lineage: Eukaryota; Viridiplantae; Streptophyta; Magnoliopsida; Poales; Poaceae. The record is from RNAcentral.
AUGGGUGGAUCCCAGUUCUGGCAGUCCGUGAUUCAGCUUCUGCCCGUCCUCCGCAUCGGCACGUCCAUCUCGGUUGGCUCCGGUUCCUCGACCCUGUUCUGGUUCGACUGUUGGUUAGGGUACUCCCCCCUGGCUGUGCGAUUCCCAGAACUCUUUGCCAUUGCGGCCGACCCUCGGGUCUCUGUCGAGACGGCCCUUAUUGACAUAGGGCGUCUCGCUUUCCGGCGCCCAUUCGGCCCCCUCGAGGUGGCUGCUUGGGACUCCCUCCUCCAAGACAUCGCCCUUAUACCAAUGAAUGUCGAGGAGGGCCAGGAUGCCCUUUCCUGGCGCCUUGAGCCGUCUGGCCGUUUCUCCACGAAGUCCUUGUACGCCUCCAUCGCGCCCUCGGCGGCCCCGGAACCCUUUAGCCUGAUAUGGGACAUCCGCCUACCUCUGAAGAUCAGGAUUUUCCUGUGGCAAUGGAUCCAUGGACGCCUCCCCUCUAGGGUUGAAGUCCUCAAGCGUAACGGCCCGGGCGAUGGGAUGUGUCCCAUAAGUGGCACGAUCGAGGAUGCUAACCACAUCUUCUUCUCGUGCUCUACUGCCUAG